Molecule: ribosomal RNA, 400 nt
Filed under: uncultured bacterium
Lineage: Bacteria
Description: bacterial SSU rRNA
Rfam family: Bacterial small subunit ribosomal RNA
Source: RNAcentral
GGGGAAUCUUAGACAAUGGGCGCAAGCCUGAUCUAGCCAUGCCGCGUGAGCGAUGAAGGCCUUAGGGUUGUAAAACUCUUUCGUGGGGGAAGAUAAUGACUGUACCCCAAGAAGAAGCCCCGGCUAACUCCGUGCCAGCAGCCGCGGUAAUACGGAGGGGGCUAGCGCUGUUCGGAAUUACUGGGCGUAAAGCGCACGUAGGCGGACCGGAAAGUCAGAGGUGAAAUCCCAGGGCUCAACCUUGGAACUGCCUUGGAAACUCCCGGUCUUGAGUUCGAGAGAGGUGAGUGGAAUUCCGAGUGUAGAGGUGAAAUUCGUAGAUAUUCGGAGGAACACCAGUGGCGAAGGCGGCUCACUGGCUCGAUACUGACGCUGAGGUGCGAAAGCGUGGGGAGCAAAC